Molecule: ribosomal RNA, 497 nt
Filed under: uncultured bacterium
Lineage: Bacteria
Description: partial 16S ribosomal RNA
Rfam family: Bacterial small subunit ribosomal RNA
Source: RNAcentral
GAUGAACGCUGGCGGCGUGCCUAAUACAUGCAAGUCGAGCGAACGGACGAGAAGCUUGCUUCUCUGAUGUUAGCGGCGGACGGGUGAGUAACACGUGGAUAACCUACCUAUAAGACUGGGAUAACUUCGGGAAACCGUAGCUAAUACCGGAUAAUAUUUUGAACCGCAUGGUUCAAAAGUGAAAGACGGUCUUGCUGUCACUUCUAGAUGGAUCCGCGCUGCAUUAGCUAGUUGGUAAGGUAACGGCUUACCAAGGCAACGAUGCAUAGCCGACCUGAGAGGGUGAUCGGCCACACUGGAACUUGGACACGGUCCAGACUCCUACGGGAGGCAGCAGUAGGGAAUCUUCCGCAAUGGGCGAAAGCCUGACGGAGCAACGCCGCGUGAGUGAUGAAGGUCUUCGGAUCGUAAAACUCUGUUAUUAGGGAUGAACAUAUGUGUAAGUAACUGUGCACAUCUUGACGGUACCUAAUCAGAAAGCCACGGCUAACUACGUG